Cotesia glomerata is the source of this 554-nucleotide long non-coding RNA. RefSeq lists it as uncharacterized. The transcript is spliced from 3 exons. The record is from RefSeq and is a predicted model, not a curated record. NCBI's taxonomy places the organism in Eukaryota, Metazoa, Arthropoda, Insecta, Hymenoptera, Braconidae.
GAUCUUUUUACAAACUAUAUUCGAUAUAAAAGUCGAAUUUUCCGUCAGUAAGGUGUUCAUUCUUCUCGAGAUGUUUUCAUCGCCGAUCUCCAUGGCUCCAAUGUCGGCAAAACCAGUCCCUGGUAUAUUCUUUCUUCAGGUGCCUGUUGUAAUUAUCAUAUAUCAUCUUCGUCAAGAUAUUCUUCAUCGAUUCUCUUCAGUUUUGAUCGCGCCAAAACGGCUUACAUUGACGUAGAUCGUGCUGAACUAAGGAAUGAUGAAGAUGCAUAUCCAGCGGCGGCUGCUGGCGAUUUUAUCUAUAAUUCUCAAAUUUGCCUGGCGUGUUCAGACGAGGAAUCACCACCGGACGUCGUCUACAACCCUUGUCGGCACUGCAUCUUCUGCCAAGCAUGUCAAAGACAGUACGUGCAAACUCUGCUUGGAGAUGGGCAAAUUUUAACUUGUAGUUACUGCCGACAAGAGGUUGUCUCAGUUGACUUGAUUAUUUAAAAAAAUAUUAAUCCUCAUUAAAUUUUUAUUUAAUAUUACUUUUAAACAAAUUUAAAAUAUAAUUA